GUCGGUAAAACUCGUGCCAGCCACCGCGGUUAUACGAAAGACCCUAGUUUAUAGAUACGGCGUAAAGGGUGGUUAGGGGACAAACAAAAUAAAGCCAAAGACCUCCUAAGCCGUCAUACGCUCACGGAGAUACGAAGCCCAAACACGAAAGUAGCUUUACCAAACAUGCCCGACUCCACGAAAGCUGGGAAACAAACUGGGAUUAGAUACCCCACUAU
Molecule: ribosomal RNA, 218 nt
Filed under: Hypostomus ancistroides
Lineage: Eukaryota; Metazoa; Chordata; Actinopteri; Siluriformes; Loricariidae
Description: partial small subunit ribosomal RNA
Source: RNAcentral